Molecule: non-coding RNA, 438 nt
Organism: Bactrocera oleae (olive fruit fly)
Lineage: Eukaryota; Metazoa; Arthropoda; Insecta; Diptera; Tephritidae
Source: RefSeq, a predicted model, not a curated record
AAGGUUUGGUCCGAUUUUAAAUUUGCAAUUCAACUUCAAUUUCUGGAACAGGGGGUGGUUCCUUCAGCCCAAAGGAGGUUUGGUCCGAUUUUAAAUUUGCAAUUCAACUUCAAUUUCUGGAACAGGGGGUGGUUCUUUCAGCCCAAAGGAGGUUUGGUCCGAUUUUAAAUUUGCAAUUCAACUUCAAUUUCUGGAAAUGGGGGUGGUUCCUUCAGCCCAAAGGAGGUUUGGUCCGAUUUUAAAUUUGCAAUUCAACUUCAAUUUCUGGAAUUGGGGGUGGUUCCUUCAGCCCAAAGGAGGUAAGAAGUAUACAUACAUCUGUAAAAGGGAUUCAAAAUGUUGUAUGUUCUCCAGUAAUUGCAGCAAAUACCAGGUGUACCGGUAUAAAAUAAUAUACUAAUUUUGAAUGGGAAAGUAAAAAAAAAAAUUAUUCAAAGU